Molecule: ribosomal RNA, 461 nt
Filed under: Dineutus subspinosus
Lineage: Eukaryota; Metazoa; Arthropoda; Insecta; Coleoptera; Gyrinidae
Description: partial 16S ribosomal RNA
Rfam family: Bacterial large subunit ribosomal RNA
Source: RNAcentral
AACAAAAACAUCUCUUUUUGAUUUAUAUAAAAAGUAUAACCUGCCCACUGAAAUUAUUUAAAUGGCCGCAGUAUUUUGACUGUGCAAAGGUAGCAUAAUAAUUAGUUUUUUAAUUAAAAGCUUGUAUGAAUGGUUGGACGAGGUAAAUACUGUCUUUAAAUAAUUUAUAGUAGAAUUUAAUUUUUGAGUUAAAAAGCUUAAAUAAUUUUAAAAGACGAGAAGACCCUAUAGAUCUUUAUUAUUUUAAUUUUAAAAAUAAUUUUGAUUUUUAAAAUUUUUAAUAUUAAAAUAAUUUUAUUGGGGUAAUAUAAAGAUUAAAGAAAUUCUUUAUUUUUAAAAACAUAAAUUUAUGGUUUUUUUGAUCCAGUUUUAUUGAUUAAAAGAUUAAGUUACCUUAGGGAUAACAGCGUAAUUUUUUUAAAGAGUUCAUAUCGAUAAAAAAGAUUGCGACCUCGAUGUUG